CCUACGGGAGGCAGCAGUGAGGAAUAUUGGUCAAUGGGCGCGAGCCUGAACCAGCCAAGUAGCGUGAAGGAUGACUGCCCUAUGGGUUGUAAACUUCUUUGAUAGGGGAAUAAAGUGCAGUAGGUAUACGGCUUUGCAUGGACCUUAUGAAUAAGGAGCGGCUAACUCCGUGCCAGCAGCCGCGGUAAUACGGAGGAUCCGAGCGUUCUCCGGAUUUAUUGGGUUGAACGGGAGCGUAGGCGGGUUGUUAAGUCAGUUGUGAAAGUUCGCGGCUCAACCGUAAAAUUGCAGUUGAUACGGGCAUCCUUGAGUACAGUAGAGGUAGGCGGACUUC
This 334-nucleotide ribosomal RNA is filed under the name uncultured bacterium. RNAcentral's name for it is "partial 16S ribosomal RNA". It matches the Rfam family "Bacterial small subunit ribosomal RNA", at positions 338 to 669 of the family's 1533-position model. The record is from RNAcentral.